CCUACGGGUGGCUGCAGUUUCGAAUCAUUCACAAUGGGCGAAAGCCUGAUGGUGCGACGCCGCGUGAGGGAUGAAGGCCUUCGGGUUGUAAACCUCUGUCACUGGGGAAGAAACGCUUCAAGUUAAUAGCUUGAAGCCUGACUUAACCCAGAGAGGAAGCAGUGGCUAACUCUGUGCCAGCAGCCGCGGUAAUACAGAGACUGCAAGCGUGAUGCGGAUUCACUGGGCGUGAAGGGGUGGCAGAGGGCCGAAAGCCCGGGGCUUAACCUCGGAAUUGCGCCUAAAACUACACGGCUAGAGCAUUGGAGAGGGUAGCGGAAUUCACGGUGUAGCAGUGAAAUGCGUAGAUAUCGUGAGGAACACCAGAGGCGAAGGCGGCUACCUGGACAAUUGCUGACGCUCAGGCACGAAAGCGUGGGGAGCAAAAGGGAUUAGAUACCCGGGUAGUC
Molecule: ribosomal RNA, 449 nt
Filed under: uncultured bacterium
Lineage: Bacteria
Description: partial 16S ribosomal RNA
Rfam family: Bacterial small subunit ribosomal RNA
Source: RNAcentral